This 371-nucleotide long non-coding RNA is filed under the name Homo sapiens (human). RNAcentral's name for it is "non-protein coding lnc-CREB3L4-7:1". The record is from RNAcentral. Lineage: Eukaryota; Metazoa; Chordata; Mammalia; Primates; Hominidae.
ACCUGCCUGUCCCGCGCUUCCCGGCCGGCCGGCCCGCUGGCGGGUGGCUCGGAGGGCGAGCUGGCGGGCCGGCGGGCGGCGGGGCUACCCGGCCCCAGACAUGGCGCACCCGACUUGGGCGCCGCUCCCGCCCGGGCAGUGAGUGAAGGAAGAAGAGGCGGCCGAGGACCGCAGAGCGCGGGGCGCAGUGGAAGGAGAUCCGGGCGGUCCCCGCGUCCCCGCCGCGCUGCGCCACGCGGGGACUGUGCUGCCGCGCUGCUCGCUCGGCCGGCUCGGUCCUCCCAGCUCCCGCGGCGCCGGGGACCCAGCGUUCCUCCGCGCGCCCCGCUUUCUCUACUCCCCCAACCCCCGCUCCGGGCCGCGGGCGCCGC